GACGAACGCUGGCGGCGUGCUUAACACAUGCAAGUCGAACGAGAAUCUACAGAAUGCGAUUUCGGUCAAAUGAAGUAGAGGACAGUGGCGGACGGGUGAGUAACGCGUGAGGAACCUGCCUUUCAGAGGGGGACAACAGUUGGAAACGACUGUUAAUACCGCAUAACGCAUGGGUAUCGCAUGGUACCGAUGCCAAAGAUUUAUCGCUGAAAGAUGGCCUCGCGUCUGAUUAGCUAGUUGGUGAGGUAACGGCCCACCAAGGCGACGAUCAGUAGCCGGACUGAGAGGUUGAACGGCCACAUUGGGACUGAGAUACGGCCCAG
This 323-nucleotide ribosomal RNA is filed under the name uncultured bacterium. RNAcentral describes it as "bacterial SSU rRNA". It matches the Rfam family "Bacterial small subunit ribosomal RNA", at positions 28 to 334 of the family's 1533-position model. The record is from RNAcentral.